The sequence is a ribosomal RNA, 339 nucleotides long. It matches the Rfam family "Bacterial large subunit ribosomal RNA", at positions 1 to 375 of the family's 2925-position model.
AUAGAGUCAAGUGAAUAAGUGCAUCAGGUGGAUGCCUUGGCGAUGAUAGGCGACGAAGGACGUGUAAGCCUGCGAAAAGCGUGGGGGAGCUGGCAAUAAAGCUUUGAUCCCGCGAUGUCCGAAUGGGGAAACCCACUGCAUACUGUGCAGUAUCCUAAGCUGAAUACAUAGGCUUAGAGAAGCGAACCCGGAGAACUGAACCAUCUAAGUACCCGGAGGAAAAGAAAUCAACCGAGAUUCCGCAAGUAGUGGCGAGCGAACGCGGAGGAGCCUGUACAUGAUAAUUGUUGAGAUAGAAGAACAAGCUGGGAAGCUUGACCAUAGUGGGUGAUAGUCCCG